UGAUAUGGUUUCGGGCCUGAA
RNAcentral lists this non-coding RNA (21 nucleotides) under Arabidopsis thaliana (thale cress). The record is from RNAcentral. Lineage: Eukaryota; Viridiplantae; Streptophyta; Magnoliopsida; Brassicales; Brassicaceae.